Molecule: non-coding RNA, 72 nt
Organism: Ciona intestinalis (vase tunicate)
Lineage: Eukaryota; Metazoa; Chordata; Ascidiacea; Phlebobranchia; Cionidae
Source: Rfam
GAGUUGAUGGUGUAACGGUUAGCAUUGGUGCCUUCUAAGCACUAUUUUCUGGUUCGACUCCCGAUCGACGCA